This is a non-coding RNA of Carica papaya (papaya), 430 nucleotides long. Lineage: Eukaryota; Viridiplantae; Streptophyta; Magnoliopsida; Brassicales; Caricaceae. The record is from RefSeq and is a predicted model, not a curated record.
AUUGAAUUGAAGAAUUGCUGGUACUCAAAUGGUGCGCACUUAUAAAGAAUUGCAUCAUCGUAUUCGUUGACAAGAGGAUAAUGAAAUGUGUUUGAACGCAUUGGGAAAAUUGAAGGAUGAAUUCGAUAUUGUUCAACAAAACAUGGCUACCAUUAUUGAGAGAAUUUUCAAUUAAUAUUUUUUUAGCUUUAAACAUGAUUUACAAUUAUUAUUUUCUAUAACAAAGGAGAUAUACACUAACACAAACACUCAUAGUCACAAUCUUAUCAUGACUAAAAUAUUUUAUUUUAGUUCUAAUCAAAAUUUUCAUAUUAUCAAAUUGUAGGCACAAAGAAAUAUCCUGGAUAGACCCAGACCAAAUCACCUUAGAGAUAUUUAAUGGUUGAAUUUUAUUCCAAGGAAAAUAUGAUUGUACUAUUCAAGAAAGUAA